AAAAGGAUGUUUUUCAGAAACAGAUGGAUCAGAAAGUAUCAUGGGACAGCACUCAGUCAGUCGUAUGUCUGGAAUUCCGCUAGUUCUGAACUAUUCGUGAUUGGCAAAAGUUCACUACUAGCAGAACUCGGAUAUACAACUGAAUUCUCAACGAAAGCUCAAGAAUAGUUUGGUCUCACAUGGCCUGCCAUUGGACAACUGCUAUAUUCACGUGAUCUACUUAUUGGAUGAAGUACAAGAAGUUAAGACCAUCCUUGGAUGUGUUA
Long non-coding RNA from Sinocyclocheilus anshuiensis, 266 nucleotides. RefSeq lists it as uncharacterized. NCBI's taxonomy places the organism in Eukaryota, Metazoa, Chordata, Actinopteri, Cypriniformes, Cyprinidae. The transcript has 3 exons. The record is from RefSeq and is a predicted model, not a curated record.